UUCCGGUUGAUCCCGCCGGACCUGACUGCUAUCGGAUUGAUACUAAGCCAUGCUAGUCUUUGUAGUAAUACAAGGCAUACGGCUCAGUAACGCGUAGUCAACCUACCCUAUGGACGGGGAUAAUCUCGGGAAACUGAGCAUAAUACCCGGCAGACCACUUAUCCUGGAAUGGUUAGUGGUUAAAAUGAUUCGUCGCCAUAGGAUGGGACUGCGGCCUAUCAGCUUGUUGGUGAGGUAAUGGCCCACCAAGGCGAUUACAGGUACGGGCUCUGAGAGGAGAGGCCCGGAGAUGGGUACUGAGACAAGGACCCAGGCCCUAUGGGGCGCAGCAGGCGAGAAAACUUUGCAAUGUGCGAAAGCACGACAAGGUUAAUCCGAGUGAUUUCUGCUAAAGGAAUCUUUUGUUAGUUCUAAAAAUACUAGUGAAUAAGGGGUGGGCAAGUUCUGGUGUCAGCCGCCGCGGUAAAACCAGCACCUCAAGUGGUCAGGAGGAUUAUUGGGCCUAAAGCAUCCGUAGCCUGUUCUAUAAGUUUGCGGUUAAAUCUAUACGCUCAACGUAUAGGCUGCCGUAAAUACUGUAGAACUAGGGAGUGGGAGAGGUAGACGGUACUCGAUAGGAAGGGGUAAAAUCCUUUGAUCUAUUGAUGACCACCUGUGGCGAAGGCGGUCUACCAGAACACGUUCGACGGUGAGGGAUGAAAGCUGGGGGAGCAAACCGGAUUAGAUACCCGGGUAGUCCCAGCUGUAAACGAUGCAGACUCGAUGAUGCAAUGGCAUAGAGCUAUUGCAGUAUCGCAGGGAAGCCGUUAAGUCUGCCGCCUGGGAAGUACGUACGCAAGUAUGAAACUUAAAGGAAUUGGCGGGGGAGCACCACAAGGGGUGAAGCCUGCGGUUCAAUUGGAGUCAACGCCGGG
RNAcentral lists this ribosomal RNA (914 nucleotides) under uncultured marine archaeon. RNAcentral describes it as "bacterial SSU rRNA". It matches the Rfam family "Archaeal small subunit ribosomal RNA", at positions 1 to 922 of the family's 1478-position model. The record is from RNAcentral.